Molecule: non-coding RNA, 4629 nt
Filed under: Pongo abelii (Sumatran orangutan)
Lineage: Eukaryota; Metazoa; Chordata; Mammalia; Primates; Hominidae
Source: RNAcentral
AAACUCCCUGCUAGAGGGACUAGGAGAUUGGGGGCUGCGGCCGUUUCCUCCGGAGCAGCCACGGGACUGUGUGCUGGGGUCACUCCACCGGCUGUGUCCUUUAUUCUUCUUUCUCACCCAACGAUUUACCUGAACGAUUAUAAAGUGCACGUUAUUUCCCUAAGGUCCUUCUUACUGAUGUGUUGCUCUUCUUCAUGGCUCAUGAAAACUAUUAGAGUCAUCCAAGGUUUGGAGACAGAAAGGAGCACCCCCAAGUGAGGCAGAGCAGUCUCAGAAACAUAGGAAAAUGGUGGGAAGAGAGGUCAGCAGCGUUAACUGGGUGCCAAGAAAACAUACCGAGAUCGAAGCCAUCCACUUCUGCAGGAACACCGAAAAGAAAGCUUACAAUCUGAAGGUGUCCGUUCCUACACUGGUCAGACCACUGUCCUUGGGGCAGCUGGGGUCUUUGGGACCCUCCACCGGGCUCGCCGGUCCGUCGGACUUUUGGCUGAGAUCCGUGUCAGACUCCUCCGAAUAGUCGUCUGUUGGCAUCGAGGGCUGAACCCCUGAGGUGCUGCAUGAACUUGAGGUAACCGUUGAAGAUGAGGAGAGAGGAGGAAAAGAAGGGGGCUUCGCUGCCGAAGCCCGGGAGACCACUUGCGGCCAAGACUUCCUGGAGGCAUGGGGGGAAGCGGAGGAGGGGGCGGCGGCCGACGGGGGAGGGGGGCUGUCGUUUGAGUGAGCGGCAGACUGCGAGGUAGAUGCGGUGCUAGGAUCGGGGAAGCAGGCAGAGUGAGGUAAUAAACUAGGGUGCUCUUUGGCGUUUCUUGCUGCUCUCGUGAUUGUUCUGUGUUUGUGCAAGGCCGACUCGAGAUGUUGACUCAGAGCUUCCUCCCCACAGAGCGCGCUCUCGCACGCCAGGCAGUGGUACGAGCCGCCGCCGCCGCCACCGCCACCGCCGCCACUGCCGCCGCCGCCGCCGCCGCCGCCGGUGGGGACGUGAAGCACCAUCUCUUGCAGGUUCACCACAGACUGGCCGAAGAAGCAGAGGGACUUCAGGUGGCUCCUCGCCGCCUCCUCGUCGCCGAAGCCCGCCUGGCACUUGCGGCAGACCAACUUGUACUGCACCUUUGGAACAAUGAAGGGGUCGUAGAGGGAGUCCGCACUUUUGCUUUCUGCUUCUGGCUCUUCAGGGGGUUUCGGCAGGAGGGGGGACACCUCACGGGGGGCGUUUUUCUGUUCUUCUGGUUUGGGGGAUUCUUUGGCAGGGUCUUUGUCUGGGGAAGCAGCCCCCGGGGGGACUGGGGUUUGGCUUGCUUUGGGCUGCUGCUGCUGCACUUUUUGCUGCUGCUGCUGCUGCUGUAGUUGCCGCUGCUGCUGAAUUGCCUCCUGCAGACUCUGCUGGUAUUGCUGGUACUGCUGCAGUAGGGAGCCUGGGGACAGCCCCAUCAGGGCCUGCGACAGUGCAGGGCUGUAGGGGAACAGGCCUUCCAUGCCAUACAUAGGCUGCAGGUACCCGCUCUGCAGGGCGCCAGGGAUCUGGGGAGCAUAAUAAGGAGAAAAGCCUGGUACAAAGUAAGGAAGGAACUGGCUCGUGAGCAAUGCUGUGGGGUCCGAAGUCAACGCGGCCUGCAGGGCCUGCAGCUGUGCAGGGUCUACCGCAUACUCCAUGGUGGGCAGCGGGGCUGAGAUCGUGGCUGCAGUUGCCGUGGGGGCCUCUCCUUUCUCCUUCUUGGGGACAGGCAGGGGUUCCCCUUUCCCUUUGUGUGCCUUUUCCUUCUCCUUUACUUUCUCACUGUCUUUGUCCUUGCGUUGCUGCUGCUGUUGCGGUGGGAGCUGUGGUGUGGGUGGCGGCUGGGCUGCUGGCGGCGGGGGAGGCUGCUGCACCUGUGGCUGCUGCUGCUGCUGGGGGGGUUGCUGAGGGGCCAUCGCCAUGGUGGCUUGUGCUGGGGUUGGGGAGCUCAGCGACGCUGAGGACGGUUUAUUUGGUAAUCCAGAUGUGGGGAGGCCAGGGGAAGGAACAGUUGUGCUGGGCAGACCCAUCAAGUUCGGCUUAGGAGACGUUAAAGCUGAAAGGAAUGGAGACAGAAAUCACCCGUCAGUCUGGGCAGGGGUAGGGCUGAAGCUCAAGACGUUUUGCCAGUGUCACUGGCACACAGUCUGAGAUGUCAAGGCUUGAAGGAUCCUCUCAAAAUGAGCAUUUCCAACAGAAGUAUCCCACCAGGCUCAGGGCUGGACAACCUUGUAUUCUAAUGAGGAUUCAGUCCUGGGUCAGCUCCCAUACUUCCCCUUUCAGCCAAACAACUUCCAACACCUUCCUGCCCAAUGUGCCACACCCGCUAGUUCACAUUUUCUUUGCCAAGUACUCCCAGCUACCAUUCACUCUGCCCAACUGCAAUUAGUCUAGAGGCCCCAAAGCUAGCUGUUUCUAGCUGGGGCCCAUUUGCACCAAAGGCCUUCAUCACAAAAAUAGUAUGGCCACGAGGUCUCCAGAGAAGUUAUCUGGAGGACAGCGGCAAUAGGAGAGAAGAGAACAAAAGCAAGAAAGCUAGCACGGCCACAUGAACAAACAAAACAGGCUCUACAUGUGUUCCUCCUCUCUGACCUCUGUUGCUGCAGUUGACUGGAUGCUUUCGGAGGGUAGAGAGAAGAAGAUGAAUAGGAAAGUGUGGGGGAAGGGCCUGGGAAGAAAUAAGAACAAUCCAUUCAGGGAAAAUUGCUUCCAUGCCUUGGCCCAGCUGAUCUGCUUCAACAAGUCUACUCAACAGUAUAACCGCCUAGGAAGAGGAUUCUGGAAUCCGCUGGAGAAACGACCACCUUCUCUUCCUGCCCCUGUUUGAAUGAUACACAGGAGGGCCAGUGGGACUGUAGAUGGUUGAGGAACAACCGCAGGAAAAGGAGAAAAGCCAUGUCAGAAAUGGAAUAGCCCAAGAUACUGACACCAAUUCCCAAGACAUCACAACCUACCCCAAGCACCACUGCCUAUGGAUAGCAAAGGUCUCUGACUGUGUCACCAGGCCCUCAUGGACUGGAGUCCCAUGCUUGAUCAUACUCACCCCUAAUCUACCACCGCUCCCUGCAAUGCCUUCACCGACCCGAGAGCCUAAUACCCUCCCUGACCCAUAGCUAUCUCCUGGUUUGAGUCAUCAGUUCCAAGGUAAUGCAAGAGGGUGUUGCUACGGAUGGUACUCCAAGCUUCAGGUGUGUUGAGACUAGCAAGAUAGUAGGUAAGGACAGCAUGGGGGUGGGGUGCAGCGUGUGCUGGACGAUGAAAAGCUGAGAAAACAAAGAGCAGGAUCCCACAGGCAACAGCUCUCAGAACACCUCUAUAUUCACCAUAUCCAAGAAACUAGAUGGUAUAUACAUCUCUUCAGAGGACAACAAAAUGCAAAAUCAAAAUCUUAUUUGGACCUCACCUUCUGCUGGAAAGCUGGGGAAGGAGUUCCAUAACAUGACACUGAGAAAAAAAAGCAAGAAAAAGCACUCUGAAGCCCAGACCUGGGGGAAGACUGCUGAUUUCUGGCUAUCAUGGUAGUGUUCACCAUCAAAACCCUCAGAUUUCAGAUGAAAAGAACAAGACUGCUUCAAAUUGCCAAUCCCAGACAAACAUCUGUUAAUACUGGAUAGCCAAGGAGAAAGGUUCCUUCAGCAUCUCAUCAUCCAGUGUCCUCAAUGCACAUAAGACACCAGAGAAGAUAUGUGUGACUCUACUCAGAAAAGCUUAGUAAAGACUUGUUAGUUAAAUUGGCACAAACAAGACAGAGACAGAGUAGAUUAUGAGUUCUAAACUUGGGACAUGGCUCUGUCUCCACUAGGCAAUGGGCCUGCUCUCAGUGGGGCAAGGAAGGAAUAUCUAGAGAUUUCCCCAUCCCCAUGGCUCCAGACUUUUAGGAGAAAGAUUCAGGUCAAAAAGCCUUAAACUGUGUGUCUUCAACUGACGGUCUGUAUAAGAGGUUCAAAUUUUAAGAAACGUUUACAAAUCUGUACUAUUUACCAAGCCUUGCACUAGCCAUGCUAGACACAGUAGCUCAACACACUCACAACUCUGUGACAUCCUUUUUCUGAUCUGUAAGAUCAGAAUCAGGCAAGGUACUUCAUCCCCCCAGGACUUACUCCUACAACUCUGGAGUCACACUGACCCUGUGGGAUUAUGGUCACACACAUCAGACAUGUGACCCUGGGACUUUCGGUUGAACUCUUGGAACCUCAGCUUUCCACAACAGAUGGUUAUAAGGAUUAAAUAAAAGACCAUAUUGAUAGAAAAAGCUUAGCAUUGGGCCUGACAUAUAAUAGAUGUUUAAUAAACACAAGUUCGCUCCUUCCCUCCCAUUCCAGAUCCAGUGUUUUUGAGAGCUGUGUUACGAUCAGGUGAUGAUAACUGGGGUAUGUCUGCUGCCCUGAAUAAAUAAGAGCUUAUCUUUCUAUCUCGAGUCCACUCUAAGUGGUCAGAACCUGAGUAGCACUAAACAUAUACCUGUUGACUGACUGGCUCAUAUUGGGUGUUGUGGAAGGAGCACAUAGCACUGGGAGCCCAGAGGCCUGGGUGGGAGCUCUGGCUCCUACCCUAGCUUGUUGAAUGGUCUUGACCUCUCUGGGCCUCAGAUUUCUCAUCUGUAAAACAAGCGGAAUAAAUCAUACAUUCUGAUUCUA